This 211-nucleotide long non-coding RNA is filed under the name Elaeis guineensis (African oil palm). RNAcentral's name for it is "long non-coding RNA (EGUI_LNC047252)". The record is from RNAcentral. Lineage: Eukaryota; Viridiplantae; Streptophyta; Magnoliopsida; Arecales; Arecaceae.
ACUUGAGCUAACCAAUUUUGAUCAAUUAUCCAAUUAGUUUUGUUCGCUUACCUAAUCAAUUUAUUGGUGUCUAAAGAAAGCAACGGGAGGACCCCCAUUAAUCUUCACUUAUCUGGUCAAUUUGAAAGAUUGAGUCACAAAUAUGGUUGCUUGAUGGUUUGAUUUAGCGUAUGUCAAUUACAUCAGUCAUAUGAUGACUGAUUAGAUAAGA